UAUAUUCGACAAUGGGGGCAACACUGAUCCACCCAUCCCGAGGGUGUGAAAAAGGUCUUCGGAGCGUAAUGCACAUUAAGGUGGGAGGAAGGGCUUUAGGUUAAUACCCUUAAGUUUUGACGCUACCAACAGAAUAACCACCGGCUAACUCUGUCCCAGCAGCAGCGGUAAUACCGAGGGUGCAAGCGUUAUUCGGAAUUACUAGCCGUAAAGCGCGCGUAGGUGGUUCAGUAAGAUGGGUGUGAAAUCCCCGGGAUUAACCUGGGAACUGCUUUCAUAACAGCUGAGCUAGAGUACGGUAGAGGGUAGUGGAAUUUCCUGUGUAGCGGUGAAAUGCGUAGAUAUAGGAAGGAACACCAGUGGCGAAGGCGACUACCUGGACUGAUACUGACACUGAGGUGCGAAAGCGUGGGGAGCAAACA
RNAcentral lists this ribosomal RNA (422 nucleotides) under uncultured bacterium. RNAcentral describes it as "partial 16S ribosomal RNA". It matches the Rfam family "Bacterial small subunit ribosomal RNA", at positions 359 to 774 of the family's 1533-position model. The record is from RNAcentral.